This 274-nucleotide ribosomal RNA is filed under the name uncultured bacterium. RNAcentral describes it as "partial 16S ribosomal RNA". It matches the Rfam family "Bacterial small subunit ribosomal RNA", at positions 523 to 796 of the family's 1533-position model. The record is from RNAcentral.
AUACGGAGGGUGCAAGCGUUAAUCGGAAUUACUGGGCGUAAAGGGCGCGUAGGCGGUCUAUCAAGUCAGGUGUGAAAUCCCACGGCUCAACCGUGGAGGUGCAUCUGAAACUGAUAGACUUGAGUAUGGGAGAGGAAAGUGGAAUUCCCGGUGUAGAGGUGAAAUUCGUAGAUAUCGGGAGGAACACCAGUGGCGAAGGCGACUUUCUGGACCAAUACUGACGCUGAGGCGCGAAAGCGUGGGGAGCAAACAGGAGUAGAAACCCUAGUAGUCC